AAUUAAGUGAUGCCACUGCUGCUCAUGAGGAUUAUUUGCUGAAGAUCAGGUUUGUUGUUUCCCUGUCUACAAAGACCAAGAGUGAACCUUUUUGCUUACUUUCCCAGCUUUACAGGUGUACCUUCCACUUCUCUAUCAAUGAAACAGGCACAAUCUCGUAUCUGCUCUGUCUACAUAACACUGCCAGGUAACCCCUGAUAAAGACCCGGCGGAGGACACAGUACGCUAAGCAUUCCAACGCACAGAUGAGAUGACAAACGCAAUGAAAUUAGCCAUUUUCUACUCAGUUCAGGACAACUGACAUUGACAACUACAAUGCUACACAGUACUUAGUAUCCAUCGUUGCGUUGAGGCCUGAGGGAAGUGGAGAAUGCAUUGCAUUUAAAAGAUUACUAGUUUAAGGUUUGACCGCCUACUCGGAUUCAAAAUAUGGAACUCAACAAAGCGAGAGAGAAACGACGCACACGCAUUCAGAAACACGAAACCUACGGCACUUGAGGUUCUUCUUCGCCACUAACUGAAAGAUGCAAAGGGUUAGCUAGUCGCUGCACUGCUGAAGCCCUGGGAAACUAACACGAGAAGCACAGGCCAGAAAUCAGGUGCGGCGGUUCGCCCAGAAACCUUCUUCUGGAGUUCCCGUUCCCGACAAGCCGUGCAUUAUCUGAUAUAAGAGACGGAUAAUACGAGCAGGGCAGAGCAAGCUUACCUCACACACGCAGGUUCGCGGGCAAUGGGACCGAUUCUCCGGUGCAGGCGCGAGGCGGCGAGGGAUGCGUGCGGAAGAAAUGGAGAGGUCACGGCGGCUUGUGAAUUGGGAUGGGAUACGGAUUAGGGUGGAAAUUGAAGCGCGGAGGCCGGCUCUAUCGGCUUUCUUCUGCAGCUCCUGAUUCUUCGCUUAUUUCUAACUUAAGUCUGUAAAC
This 920-nucleotide long non-coding RNA is filed under the name Zea mays. RNAcentral describes it as "long non-coding RNA (ZMAY_LNC000834)". The record is from RNAcentral. Lineage: Eukaryota; Viridiplantae; Streptophyta; Magnoliopsida; Poales; Poaceae.